CGCGGCGCCACAUUAUAGGGAAGAAAAAAAAUCUUUUUUUUUCAAUACAAUUUUCCUCCAUUAGAAUCGUUUUUGAUGGUGUCUCCCAGUGUGUGAUUGAAUUAGUGACGUUUCAAUGGAUAUACUCUAGUUACUGAGUCCAGUGUGUGGGCGACGAGUCGAACAAGAUAUUCCAAGCAUUCCCACCCCCCCGAAACAUAUACCGAACUGAGGACGAUAAUGUGGUCGAUAUCCGUGUGUUAAACGCGAUAUGGUGACGAGGCUCCAUGCCGCCCUUUCAUGGGCCGCCCUUUUAACUUUGCUAUUAUUUAACGGGCACGCGUUCGUACUGGACGGUUCUUCCGAGUCGUACUCGCAGUUUCGGAAAUGGGGCGGCGGCACCAACGGUACCUUGGAGUUCGAAUUUAAGACUGACCAGCCAAACGGUCUGUUACUUUACACGGACGACGGAGGAACAUACGAUUUCUUCGAGAUUAAGCUGGUCGAGGGAGCCUUAAGGUUAAGAUACAACCUGGGAGGCGGUGCGCAAAUCAUCACCGUUGGCAAAGAGUUGAACGACGGGCACUGGCACAAGGUGCAACUGCAACGGCACGAGGAGCGCACGAUCCUGACGGUAGACGGCGCGUCGCAGAUGCGCACGUCGCGUGGCAAAGAAUUCAAUUUCGGGAAAUUGGAAACGAACUCCGACGUGUACGUGGGCGGGCUGCCCAAGUGGUACAAUAAGAAAUUGGCCCUUUUGGCGUUGCCGAGCGUCUUUUUCGAGCCGCGGUUCAUCGGCGCGGUCCGCAACUUGAUUUAUCCGGACGUGGAGGGCGGAGUGGCGAGGAGACAGGAGACCAGACCCAAGGAUCAUCGGUGUGACGGACCGAUAGUGGCCGGAACCGAAUCAAUUUGCCUUCCCCAAACCAGGACGCUGAGGGGGAACAGCAGCGACGCGUGCGAAGUCCGGGAUCCCUGUCAGCACGGCGGCAUUUGCAUAUCGACAGACAGCGGCCCUAUUUGCGAGUGUCGCAAUUCCGAUUACGAGGGGGAGUUUUGCGAGAAAGAUAAGGCGCCUUCGGAAGCGGUUUUUCGGGGCACCGAGUUCUUAUCUUAUGAUCUGAGCCAAACCGGCGGAGAGCCGAUCGUGAGCGCCCAAGACACAAUCACCCUCUAUUUUAAGACGAGACAGCCCAACGGAUUACUUUUUUACACCGGCGAGGGAAGUGACUAUUUAAACGUAGCAAUCAAAGAUGGUUGCUUAAGUUUAACGAUGGGUCUGGCCAAUGGAAAACAAGAGAUGCAGAUUAAGCCCAAUAAGGUCCGCUUUGAUGACAAUCAGUGGCACAAAGUCAGCGUACACCGUAGAAUACAAGAGAUAUCUGCCAUCACCAGCUUUUGUCGGUUAUCUGCAGUCGUGGACGGAGUGUAUGCAGACCACUCGCACAUCGCCGGCAAAUUCACGAUGUUAUCCUCGAGCCGGGUGUACGUCGGGGGCAGCAUAAACACGAGGGCACUACCAGGGGCCAGGGUCCAUAACAAUUUCGUCGGCUGUAUGCGAAAGGUGGAAUUCGUGGCGGACACGUUACGCCUGAAUUUGCUCGAAUUGGGACGAUCCGGAAGCCAUUUGAUCCAGGUGGCGGGACGUCUGGAUUACAAAUGUCCCGCGGGAGAGACCCACGAUCCCAUCACGUUUACAACAAGAGAAUCACACCUGGUGUUGCCCACAUGGAACGCAAAGAAGUCUGGCAAUAUUUCAUUUAAGUUCCGGACCAACGAGGCCAACGGCCUGAUCCUGUUUAAUUCCGGAACGGCGCCACGGACGGAUUUGUUCGCGGUGGAGAUCUACAACGGGCACAUCUACGUGAACAUCGACUUGGGCACGGGACCGUCGAAGCAGCGAGGGUCGCGCCGGCGCAUCGAUGACGGCACGUGGCACGAGUUCACCUUCCGGAGAACGGGCCGUGAUGCCCGGAUCACCGUGGACGGUUUUCAUACUGACUUUAAAGCCAUGGGUAAGACGGCAAAAGGUUCAGCUACCCUGGAGCUGGAGAGUAAAUUGUUUAUCGGCGGACUGGGGCCCCCCUUCGGUGACAUCCCGGUGCCCGCGGGUCUCUGGACCGCCGCCCUCCAGCAGGGAUUCGUCGGCUGUUUCAAGGACCUCGUUAUGAAUAACGAACCCGUCGAUGUGGCCGCCUACGCCCGGGAACAGGACUCCGGUUCAAUCAGAACUUUGUGCCAUACGCAACCUCAGCAAUGCCCCUCGCAACCAUGUUUAAACGGUGGAGUUUGCACGGAGGGUUGGAACAGAUUUAUUUGUGAUUGCACCAGCACCAUGUUCACUGGACCCACGUGUGGAAAAGAAGCUGCCACUUUAAGUUUUAAUGGGUCGUCGCACAUGACGGUCACCCAGGACUCGGAAAUGGUCUCGCAAACGGAAGAAAUAAUUUUGCGAUUCCGCACCGGGAAACCGCUCGGAUUGUUGCUGAUCUCAAGCACCGUCGAGACGGGGGAUCGAAUCGAGUUGGCGGUGGCCGCCGGGAGGAUCAGGCUCGCCCUAAGGCUGGACGUCAAGGAGCGCCGCAAGGAGGAUCGGGAAAAGGAUAAGAUUUUAUUGGCAGGCCAAAACGUAAACGACAACGAGUGGCAUACGGUCAGAUUUUCAAGGAGAGGCACCAAUUUAAAACUACAAUUGGACAACCAAUCGCCCAUCAGGGCGGAAAUCCAGGGAAAAUUCACGACGCUUCAGUGGCGCACCCUGCACAUCGGAGGCCUCUACCACGUUGAAGAGGAAAUUUCGAUGUCCACCACGGUGCCUAAUUUCGUCGGGGAGAUUCAACAAUUGUAUUUCAAUAAUAUUCCAUAUAUUGAAUUGGCGAGGGCUUUAAGUACCGAACAAUCCAUUUCCGGUUUUCCAACGAUAAAAGUGACAGCGAAAUUCGUAAAACACGCCACGGACAAUCUGCACCGGCCGGUGACGUUCCGAUCGAAGCACACGUUCAUCGGGUUGCCUAUGUUGCGCGCAUACUCAAGCAUCCACAUCGACUUUAUGUUUAAAACCCGCGAAGCAAACGGACUCAUCAUGUUCAACGGAGGACGCAAAGAGGAUUUUGUUGCUGUGGAGUUGGUUGAUGGUCACAUUAAUUACAUUGUUAAUGUGGGAGAUGGUACCGUUACACUUAGGGAUACUGUCAGGUCCCAUCUAAACGACAACCGAUGGCACACGGUAGGCAUCCGUCGUCCCUCCGCCCGCCAACACACCCUCAUGGUCGACGACGACAUCGUGAUCGCAACGAAUUACGGAAGCGGAAACCUGGAACUCGAUGGGAUUUUGUAUUUGGGCGGCGUAUAUAAGGACUUAUACGCGCAGCUUCCACAGGAAGACGUCAAGUCUCGUCACGGGUUUGAGGGUUGUAUCGCCGGUCUCGACCUGAACGGGGAAUCACCCAAUAUUAUGGAGGAUGCGGUCGUCCAUAGUUCCCUAGUAACUGCCGGGUGUGAAGGGCAAUCAGCCAAAUGUAGUCACAAUGUUUGCGCGAACGGUGGGGUAUGCGUACAACAAUGGAACUCGUACACUUGCGAUUGCGAUCUGACGUCAUUUACCGGCCCUACAUGCACUGACGAGUCGGUUUCAUACGAAUUCGGUCCGAAUCCAGGAAUAAUAACGUACACAUUCUCGGAGGACAACCGACCAGAAAUGCAAGAGGACUCGAUCGCUCUCGGAUUCAUCACCACCAAAUCGGACGCAGUUCUCUUGAAAAUUAUCAGCGGCACCUCCAGCGAUUACAUUGAGAUUCACAUUUUGGAAGGCAACGUAUUCGCCGUAUAUAACCUGGGCACGAACGAUCAUCCCUUGGGCGAAAUCUCCGUAAAAGUAAACGACAACCAGUACCACGUGGUCAAAUUUCACCGUCAAGGAUACAAUUCGACGUUACAAGUGGACGAUUAUAACGUACAGUCCAGCUUCCCAAGUGGUAACCAACUACAAGUGUUCAACACCCAAUCCCAGAUCCAGAUUGGUGGUAAAUGGAGCCGAGGAAAAAAACGAAUCGACCGCCCGUUCUCCGGGAUAAUUUCGGGAGUCGUGGUGAACUCCCUGAGGGUGUUGGACUUGGUGGCGGAAAAAGACGUGCGAGCGUCCAUUCGCGGGGACGUCGCCCUCGUCCAGGGAAUUCUGGAUCGGCAAGACCUCCUGACCAAGAUGCAACAGACUCCGGCCUCUGGAUUUCCGGGACUCGAGGACGAUCUGAUCUUUAGUGGCGCCGGUUCCGGAUGUAAUGGAGACGACGAGGACGAGUGUCCCCCUCUACCGGAGAUCGGCUCCGGAGACGACGACCUGAUCACUCCGGUUUAUGUGCCGCCCACCAAACCUCCUCCCACCGUCAAACCGAAAAACAAAAACAAUUCAAUUGCCGGAAACGGGAAAGAUUGCGACGACGAGGAUUGUGUUGAUGGUUCCGGUUCCGGGGAGAUCACCGAGGAUCCGGUUACAAACAGUAAAACCACUGGCAUGUCAACGGAAAUAACGGAUCCUUCCACCACCAUAGACAACUCGAACAACGUGAAAACCACCACGGAAGAGGAGACUCCUCCCUCCACCACCGUGGUACACCACCAAACCGUCACGUCUUAUGGAAACUUGACAACACCGGAAAACGAUUUACAUUCGUCUCCGUCACAUAAUACUACAAGACCGAGUGCCCCUCUCUUUAUCCCCACGGAUGCGAAUGGUGAUAACAAAUGGGUGAGUUCGACAACAGCGCACGGCUCAAAUCAGAACCCGGAUCGUACCACGGACAUGCCGAACGAGAUUCACGUUCCCCGUCAGCCGCAGCUGCCGUAUCCACCCCCGCCACCCCCUGAUAUUUAUAAUCCGUAUGGUGGGACUCAGUACAAGACUCCGCCCACGCAACGGAUUAAUUCUGAGACUUCUGAGGUGGUCGCGUUGAUUAUCGGUAUAAUCGCUGGCGCCCUGAUCGCAAUCAUCCUGGUGGUCCUGAUCAUCCUCACCUUUAAAUCCCGAAGCCAGCGUUCAUUCAAGAUCGAGUCGAGCAAAGAAUCGUACGCGCACGGCCCCGGCGCAGCCCUGCUCGGCAACACCGCAUCGAGCACGUCGAGCGCCAACGCGAGCGCCCAGGCCCAGUACCAACUGAACGGCGGCGCCCUGAGAAACGGCGCAGGCGCAGACAAGUCGCAGACGCUCGCGCAGCAAAACAAAAAGAAACGCGACAGCAAAGACAUUAAGGAGUGGUACGUGUAAGUCGUGGUUAUGUUCGAUCGAUUCGUUGAGUGACUCCGAGCCAUCCCGUGGAAGGAUAGAAAAGUGAUAUUAUUAAUUGUUAGGGGUUUUUGUUUGGUUUUUGGCGGUUGAGGAGAAGGAAGGAGGACGAUGUUUUAGUGACGAAACGAUUUAAGUCACAUUAGGGAGAAUAUAAUUUAAAAAAGGAAAAUACUAUUCUAGUCGAUAAGGACGUUUAUUAAGGCGACAUAUUAUUGUAAAUUAUACUUAUUACCCGCACUAGUUAUACCAUUUCUGACUUCUCACGUGUUACGGCAAUCCCUCGACUAUUAUUAUUAUUAUUAUUAGUGUAAGAUAUACAUACAUACAUGCAUACAGGUAUAAUAACAUUAUUAUUAUUAUGGUAAAUUUUAAGCGCACAGUGAUUCCUCUAUUGCAAACUUUAAAUAAUGUAAAUAAUUUAUAAAAGAAGAUUAAAUAUUUUGGCUCUUUAAAUACAACUGCAUUAUGUCGUAAUGUUAGAAAUUUGGAAGAAACGUGUGUGACAAAAAGGGGAUUGAGUUUAAUAAUUCUAAACUUUAUAACGAGUUUUUAUAGGAAAUAUUGUUAUAAACACCUUAAGUGUGAAAAGUUCUUCGGUCAAAUUGUCUUAAAAGUAGUUGAAGCAAAAGUUUUUAGGGGGCAUCAAGUUUAUUUGGGAGCUGUAGAUUUCCAACAGUCGGUUAAAGGAAUGAGGAAAUUCUUAAUAUAACAUAUUAAGAGACAAAUGCUCAAACGCCAAGGGGUUGUGUCAAUAUAACGCUAAAGAGCAAACUUUAUAAGAAUAACCGAUAUCAGCGGUGAUUGCUUUGAGCCCUUUUUUCAAGGUCAUUUGUUUGCCAAAGAACUUCAAAUUCAAUAUAUUACGUGCACAAUACAUAGCAAAGUGAAAAUCAAUAAAAGCUAAAAAUAGAACUUCAUCUAUGGUUACAAACCAAAACAAUUAUAUAAAAUAUCAACACAAUUUAAGACUUAUACAAUUUAAUUCCAAGGCAGGCUAUGUAGGCCAUAGAUAUAUUGGCACAAUAAGUUCUUUCUGUUUAGUGUCAUAGCUGUGGCCCAAUCCUUCAUUUGGCUUAAUGUGCAAAAGAGAAUCAAGGAUAUAUUGAAAUGGCAAUGUUAGGGCUUUCAGAUUUACAAAUUUCCCUUUUUUUCCCAAAAAACAAACGCUCUUUUACAAUUUUCCCUUAUACCCUAGCCCAGCCAAAAUUUGCACAGCUUUUCUGCAGACCAAAGACUCUUCCAGAACGAAGAGUCAUUGGGUCAUCUUCAAUCAGAGCUAUAACUCAAGCCAAUACAGGAUAUAUCAGUAUUGAGUGGAAGAAGAGCUGAUAUGCCGUUUUUAAGGCCUCAGGAGAUAAUAAAAUUAUUCUAAAAGAGUACCCAGGGCAAACAGGCAGCUCUUGGAGCUGCCUACCUGCUCAGGAGCUGGUGGUCCACACGCUCGAACGCUUGAACAGGCACUAAACUGUUAGUUUUCAUAAGAACUUGAACUUUUUUAAAUAAGGUGUAGGAUACCAAAAGCAGAGCUUAUGUCGAAAAGCUGCUAUUGUCCUCAAUAAAGUUAUUUUUAAGGUAGUAACUUUUUCAACUUUGAAAUUACGGGCUGCAAAAUUGGCUUAUAAUUGGAAACAUCCCCUUCCUACCACCCUCUGCUGACAGUCUGGAAAACCUUUUCUUUAAAUCAUUAAUUUAUUAACUUUGUAAGAGGGACAAUAAUUAAGUUUUUUACAAUUUUUAUGAAUUUUACACUUAACCAAAAGUACCUUUAUUAAAUUUAUUUUUAGCAAAAAAACUACCAAAUAAAAAAACGAUUACUACAAUUUACCUAUGAAACAUCCCUAAUUGGAUUCCACUAGCCCACAUUAGCCUGAAAUCCCACAGGAAUGAAUAAUCUAGUAAACCAAAAUGACAGCUUGACAAACCUUACAAUAUGUCUAUAUUAAAUGAUACAAUACGUCAAUAUUAAAAACUAGGUUCAGAGAGUACUACUAUUUGUCGGUCUGGCUGAGCUGGUAAAUAAAAGUAUUGUAAUGAAUAUUUGUUCUUAACAGAAGGGUUGACCUUAUAUUUAUCGCCAUGGGUGUUGCCAGUCCUAUUGAAUAUAGCACCUCUGGAAAAUCUACAGAAGUAGUCAGAAUGUUAUACAAAUUCUUGAAAUAUCUUUGCUUCCGACUAACAGCAGAAGAAAGACAAAACAUCUGAUACUGAACUAUGUAGAUAUCAUGAAGGUAGUUGUUAACAAGAUCAAUUUUAGAAUUAGAGACUGCCAAUUUCAAGACUUUCCGUGGAACCUGGUCCAACCCCUCGAUAUAACAUUCAUACUAAGGACUACAUACUGAAGAAGCAUACUCCAGCAAAGGUCUUGCGCAUCUCUAGACAAAACCUGUCAUUCUAAGGUCUUUUAAUAUAAUCUCAGAUAUAUGAAAUUUAAACAAAAGAGUGAAGUCAAAUACAACUCGAAAAUCGCUAAUAAUUGUUUUCACAUUUGGCAAAGGAAUAUGGUGCGAGGCAAAUGUCGUAAAUGUUGCAUCGUUGUAGCAGUUCUAUGCUUGCAGAAGCAGAUACAUACAGACAGGCCCGGAUUUCCAAAAAAGGCCGCCCUGGGCACUGGGAAAAAUGUCUUGACCUUUUUUUGAGGCGAUUUUAGCUUGCGAAGUUAGGGUAGGUAAAAUCGUAUGCUGAGGUUUGUUAUUUUUUGCUGGUCAAUUUGAAUAUUAGAUUGCAUAUUAUCUAAAAUUAUCAUAUUAAAAUACUAGUAAAAUCCUUAUUUUAGAAAUCAAUUGGUAUCCAAUUAAAUAUAAUUUGCUUUCGUCUUUUUUUUUAUCACGAAGGGAGGUUAAGACAAAAAAUAUAUAAAAUAACAGGAGAAAAAUACUUUUUAUUAAGAAUUGAAAGAUGUUAAAUGUUCUGUCAUUUAAUAUAAUUGCAAAAUGGAGACGGAUUUUUAAUUACAGACUUGUUUGAUCAUGUAGACAAUAAAAAUAUUAUUAUAUAAUAUAACUGUUUCGAAAAACGAUCUGACUGCUAUAGAAAUCUAAAUAUGUAUAUGACCGUGUCGUUUUCAUCGAAAGACGCGCCUGACUUUUUGCGUUGUGAACUGUUCGAAGAUAUCCUCGCAAUUACUUCAUUAAAGCAAAUUUUUCUCUUAAUAUUUGACAUGUAAUUCCCCAUGGUAUAACCGUUGAAAAUGUUUUCUUUUCUUUCUUGAGAUUUGCCGCCCCUCAAAAUUCUGCCGCCCUGGGCACUUGCCCCGACUGCCCCUAGUGUAAAUCCAGGACUGCAUACAGAUGGCAUUUGGCUGGAUUCAACCAGCACGAUGAUCUGACUGUAAUUUGACAGUAAGGAAGGAGACAGCUAGAAGACAUUUCAGGUCAUAUGAAAAACAUAAGGAACUGGCAUAUUGAAAGAACAUGUGGAUAUCGUUCAUGAAACAUUAAAAAGAAGCGGCUUAUAUCUGAUCGUUGAGGACCACCUGAAGUAUUACUUAGCUCGUAGGAUAUAAAACCAUCGACUUUUAUAAUUUAUCAUCUGUUUGAUAGGCCCACAUCCGUGGCUCAAAGCUUGCUCAAGAGCCUCCCAUGAUUUACCCUGUCGAACGCCUUAGAAAUCUAAGACGUAGUCGGCGUAAGUAAACCGAUUGAUUUCUGUGGAUCUUCCGAUCUAAAGGCCAGCUUACUCAGUAAGAUUUUCUGUUCAGGAAAGAUACCCAAUUCUAAUGACUUAUUAAAUAAAAGGAUAAGUGGAUAACACAGAAUAAAACGAUAUAAAGGGUGGUAUGCUAUCAGUUCUUGGACCCUUAUUAGUGUUCAGCCUGCAAAUGUCACCGUAUACUCUGGAAAUAUUAAUGUGGAUAUUACUAAUAUUGUUAUUAUUGAUGGUUAAAGAUUUUCAUACAGGGUAGUCUUUGGUUGAAUAAACUGUUUUAAAGUAAUCAGCAAGAAGAUCAGCUAGGUCAUGGGGCCUACAAAUGUUUUAAUAAUUUUCUCGAGUAAGAACACCAGAAUCAUUUCUGUAUCUUGCUGUGAUCAAAUUCAUUUCUAAUCUAGAAACAUAUUGUUCAGAGCAGACAUUCCGAUCGUAAUGUCAAAAAAGUAAUUUAUUAAAAGUAAAUCAUCUUUAGAACGUGACUCUUUGAAACUUUGCAAUUGAAAAAUGCACCUGUUUCAUUCAGAUUACCUACCAAAUUUUUAAAAAAAACCUUAGAAUGUGCCCACGAGACCCUCAUUUUAAAGGUACUGCAACUGAAUGAAUAACUGAAUAAACUAUACCGACAAAAACAUUUAACAUAAUAUCUAACGAAUCGUGUUGAAGCAUAUAAUUUGAAUUAAGCUGACGAACACUUAUUAAAGACUAAGAUUUUUUAGAUUCGAAAAAAAAUUCUGAGGUAUAAUAAUUUUUCAUGACCUUUGCAGACAAGAUACAGUCACAAGAAAUCAUAUCCAGUGUAUUCUCCAAGUGAUUUAGAUAUUAUUCAAUUGACAUAUGUUAUGGAAACUGCAUAAGUCCGACAUAAAUUCAUCAUGGAUUCAAACUGGUGGCCCAAGAACAAGAGUUGUCAGAAGAUAAUAUUAAAGUUCACGAACAGUAGGAAUGAGCAUAAACACCCACAUAAACACCCAGACGCAAGAUCGACGUUUUGGCUAAGUAUGGUGUAUUUUUAAUGCUAACAAUCACCAGCUUAAGGUCUGUUGACACGUUUAUUACAGUACUACAGGGUUCCCUUGAGAACGCCAACAAUACUCUACCAUCUCUUAAGGAGGUGCUAUAGGUUUUGCACUUCUUUCAGUCCUAUAGAUGUUGGAUUUAUCCCAAUCUAGCUGCGCAUCUGAUACGUCAGCUAAAAAACAGUACUGAGAGCAAUUAUGGAGUAGCAAUUAGAGAUGAUAUUAUUUUGGAAUAUCAACAAUUAAGUUCUUAAUUCGCCAACAUUUUAGUAGUAAAUAUCUAUUGAAUGGUUGCUUUGUUGUAGAAAAUCCAUUUAUUG
Molecule: unclassified non-coding RNA, 10244 nt
Filed under: Anthonomus grandis grandis
Lineage: Eukaryota; Metazoa; Arthropoda; Insecta; Coleoptera; Curculionidae
Description: neurexin-1
Source: RNAcentral